CAGCCGCCGCGGUAAUACGAGGGGGGCAAGCGUUGUUCGGAAUUAUUGGGCGUAAAGGGUGCGUAGGCGGCUUGACAAGUCUUGUGUGAAAUCUAUGGGCUCAACCCAUAGUCUGCACGGGAAACUGUCGGGCUUGAGAAUGGGAGAGGUGAGUGGAAUUUCCGGUGUAGUGGUGAAAUGCGUAGAUAUCGGAAGGAACACCUGUGGCGAAAGCGGCUCACUGGACAAUAACUGACGCUGAUGCACGAAAGCUAGGGGAGCAAACAGGAUUAGAGACCCGAGUAGUCCCUGUCUCUUAUAC
RNAcentral lists this ribosomal RNA (301 nucleotides) under uncultured bacterium. Its description in RNAcentral is "partial 16S ribosomal RNA". It matches the Rfam family "Bacterial small subunit ribosomal RNA", at positions 509 to 807 of the family's 1533-position model. The record is from RNAcentral.